CGAAUCGCCAUUCAGCAUCCUUGUCUGGAGCUCGGGGUCCCCCUGCUGGCGUACUGGAGCCUGGGCGGGGCUUUGAGCCGAAGGGCGGACACUCUCAGACAAAAUCUCCUGAACAUGCCCAAAGAGCGUGUGCUGGGAGCCCUCCCUGCCCUUGGGAGCUCUCCAGAGAUAGGGUUCCCAGCACCGUCUGCUUCCUGCCAGUCGUUCAGCGCAGACCUUCCACCUCCAGUACUUCUGGGAACACCACGCAUCUGGGCACAGAACCCUAGGUCAUCCAAUUCUCCUCAAAGUCUGUAAGCUUGGCCUCUGGGGCCUAGUAAAUUUGGCUCAGACAUUCCUACAGGAAAUGUGAGCAAGAAGCCUCCGUUUUGCAGUCUAUAAAAUGCAAACUGUAGAA
Mastomys coucha (southern multimammate mouse) is the source of this 397-nucleotide long non-coding RNA. RefSeq lists it as uncharacterized. The transcript has 2 exons. NCBI's taxonomy places the organism in Eukaryota, Metazoa, Chordata, Mammalia, Rodentia, Muridae. The record is from RefSeq and is a predicted model, not a curated record.